This 66-nucleotide transfer RNA is filed under the name human gut metagenome. It matches the Rfam family "tRNA". Rfam says of the family: Transfer RNA (tRNA) molecules are approximately 80 nucleotides in length. The record is from RNAcentral. RNAcentral also lists the same sequence under 1 other name.
ACUGUGGCGCAACGGUAGCGCAUCGGUUUUGUAAACCGCGGGUUGCAGGUUCGAAUCCUGUCAGUG